Phrynosoma platyrhinos (Desert horned lizard) is the source of this 73-nucleotide non-coding RNA. The record is from the annotation of a GenBank genome assembly. Lineage: Eukaryota; Metazoa; Chordata; Lepidosauria; Squamata; Phrynosomatidae.
AGCAACAGUAGUGUAGUGGUUUGCACAUUGGACUAUGACCAGAGAGACCUGGGUUCAAUUCCCUGCUUAGCUA